CGGGGCGGGGCUAAAGCACGGGCGGUCCCGGGGACGUGGCCCCGCCCCUAGCUUCCCUCGGGCCGGCCGGGCCGGGCCGGCCCGAGUCUGUCCGCACUCCACCGCCCUCCUAAGCUAGGCUGCGGCGCUGGGAGCGGCAGAUCCCUCCGCCAGCCAGAAGGGAGGGAAGAAGCGACAGAGCAAGGCAAAGGUGUGGUGACUCCUGCCCUACAACAGGAGUGUGGGUGCCAUGCCUACUGGACAACCGACCCAUCAGACUUCUCCAGCAUCCUAAUUACCUCCAAGAACCUGGAGCUUGAGGAAAUGAUGGAAUCUGGCUUAGAUCUCAAAGAACCUUGCAGAACAGAAGGGCACUCAGUUCUUCACACACCCUGAUUUCUAUAUGGCUGGGUCUGAUUUACUGGACAGACUCAAUUCUAGGUUAAGAGCUGAAGAGACUAAUAUAUAAAGAAAGAGACAACAUGUCAUGGUGAUUAGAAUUAUCACCUUUGGAGUAGUCAAGCUACCUUAGUUCAAAUCCUUUUCCCACCAUUUAAUAACUGGGAACUCAGGCACAUUACUUAACUUCCCUGUACCUCAUGAUCCUCAUGGGUCAAAUGGAGAUGAUAAUGGUACCUAACUCAUAAAUUUGGUAUGAAGAUUAAAUUAGUUCAUAUAAGUAAA
This is a non-coding RNA of Vicugna pacos (alpaca), 663 nucleotides long. Lineage: Eukaryota; Metazoa; Chordata; Mammalia; Artiodactyla; Camelidae. The record is from RefSeq and is a predicted model, not a curated record.